Molecule: ribosomal RNA, 404 nt
Filed under: Xanthobacter flavus
Lineage: Bacteria; Pseudomonadati; Pseudomonadota; Alphaproteobacteria; Hyphomicrobiales; Xanthobacteraceae
Description: bacterial SSU rRNA
Rfam family: Bacterial small subunit ribosomal RNA
Source: RNAcentral
CUCAGAGCGAACGCUGGCGGCAGGCCUAACACAUGCAAGUCGAGCGCCCAGCAAUGGGAGCGGCAGACGGGUGAGUAACACGUGGGGAUCUACCCAAUGGUACGGAAUAACCCAGGGAAACUUGGAUUAAUACCGUAUGUGCCCUUCGGGGGAAAGAUUUAUCGCCAUUGGAUGAACCCGCGUCGGAUUAGCUAGUUGGUGAGGUAAAGGCUCACCAAGGCGACGAUCCGUAGCUGGUCUGAGAGGAUGAUCAGCCACACUGGGACUGAGACACGGCCCAGACUCCUACGGGAGGCAGCAGUGGGGAAUAUUGGACAAUGGGCGCAAGCCUGAUCCAGCCAUGCCGCGUGAGUGAUGAAGGCCUUAGGGUUGUAAAGCUCUUUCGCCGGUGAAGAUAAUGACGG